RNAcentral lists this long non-coding RNA (2730 nucleotides) under Equus asinus (donkey). RNAcentral describes it as "lncRNA (ENSEASG00005030684.1)". The record is from RNAcentral. Lineage: Eukaryota; Metazoa; Chordata; Mammalia; Perissodactyla; Equidae.
UGCAGCCCUCUCCUGAGACUGUCUCCUGCCACUGGAGGGACCAUAGUUUCAAUCAGGUCCUCAAAAGGACCCUUGACCCCAAAUAACACUAUUACUGAUCCAAAGGAAGCGAAAAUGUAGCAGAAGGCAAUGUUCUGCACUAGAGAAUUAGCCCACUAUCAGGCUCUUUUUCACCAUUUCCCAUAAAAGAAUCAUCAUUUGCUUUCACAGGACUCUGUCACCGCACUCCGAAGAGCCAGGUUUCAUUCCUUUGCGUGUCGGUUUGCUUUUAGGUCUGGUUUAUCUGAUCCGAGUAACAACAGCUUACCGUCAGGCAAAAAAACACAGUUCAGCAGCAAGCAGAGGAGCAUAGUCCUGGCUGGCUGAUGCAGGGUCCUGGGAAUGUCCGCAGCGUGUCAGACCCUGGGAAAGAUUUGCCCCAAGCUCAUCUGCUGCCAAUCUUCCUCUUUUUUUUUUGCUCCCCAAAGCCCCAGUACAUGGUUGUAUGUGCUGGUUGUAAGUCCUUCUGGGUCUUCUCUGCGAGGCACUGCCACACUGUGGCAGCUGACAGACGGGCGGUGUGGUUCCACGGCUGGGCAGUGAACCUGGGCUCCUGAAGCAGUGAACACUAGACUUGAACCACCAGGCCAUCAGGGCUGGCUCCAAAAGUAUCACCUUUAACCUGUGUUUUCUUUAUUAUUGUCUGUACAGCAUUGUUGGAAUGGUCAUCAGACUGAACAGUCCUGAUUUUCCUUUGGUGUCUUAUUUCCUAAGUCUUUCAAUAUUUCUAAGGCUGCCUCCCAAACCUGGCCCACUUUCCACCUCCUUCUUGGCUGUAAAUCUUGGAUUUGUUACAGAAGUAAGUGGUCUGAGCAGAAUAAUUAAUGCCAAUUACUCUCUUAAUUACCCGAAGCUUUCUAAGUCUCGACAUCUAACAAAGAGAAGCUAUGCCUUGUUCUUCUUCCUCAAAGUAGUCUUGGUUAUUUCUGCCCUUUUGCUCUGCCAUCUAAAAUUUAAGAUCUGCUUGUUGUGUUCGGUGAAAAAGGCUUUGUUGGAGCUGCACUGAAUUUAUAGAUUGCUUAGGGAAGAAUUAACAUCUUAACAAGGUCCAGGCUUCUUGUUCCGGAACAUGGUGUGUGUGAAUGAGGCGGUUCCCUUCACUUCCAACUUCAUCAUGCAGAGAUUGCUGAUUUUAGCGAAUGCUGCUUCUGUAUCCCUUGAGGUGAUCGUCUGUUAUUUCUCCUUUUAGUAUUUUAAUGAGGCUAAUUCCAUUAAUAUAUUUUCUAAUGUUAAACUGUCCUCAUAUUUCUGGGAAAAAUAACUUGUGCAAGAUAAGUUUUUUUCCAGUUACUAAUCUUUUCCCUUUAACUUCAUCACCUUUGUUACGUCAUGUGAUUGUCACGUCCUGUGGUGUCCUGAUCUGGUUUGGGCAUCAAGAUGGAGGAUAUUCUAGCACCAUUAACUGAUAUGAAAAAUAUUUUUUCUAUUCUCUAGAACUGUUUUUAUAAGAUAGAGAUUGUCUUUCUCAAAUGCUUGAUUCAUGGCCUGUAAACCAUGUAGCAUAUUUGGGGGUAGAUAAUAGGAGUUAGAUUUUAAGCUCCUUGUUAAGUUUAUCUGGCAAUUAUUGAUGUAGUCAGAUUUUCAAUUUCUUCUUGAAUCGCUUUUCUAAGGUGUGUUUUUCUAGCACAUUGUCUAGGUUGACUCUUUUAUUUCUUUAUCUAGGCUGGUGAUGACAACUUUUUUAAAAAAAAUCUAGGCUUCUAACUGACUUUGAUAAACACCUUGUAUUAUUUUUGCCCCUUUGGCAAUUUGUAUUCUUACCUAAUAGUUAUGCUGUCUGGACCGUGUUUUCUAAAUUUAUUGCCUCAUACGACUGAGUCACCCAACCUUCCCAGAGUCGAGAGAAAUUAGAACUCUCUCUUUUCUUCGCUGACCUGGGACUUUUAUCCUAAUAGAUCAGGUUAGUCUGACAGUGUUUAUUCUUCAUGAAGACUUGCUGGGGGCUUUCAGCAAGGUGUUUCCAAGUUUUUUCUUUCAGUCAUUUUCAAAUGUACAGACAUUUAGUGUAUAGAGUUUACACUCACAUUGCUAUAGUUUUUGGAGGUUUUUACUGUAAAUGUCAUCAAGUAUGCUUUCCAAGAACAAAUUUUAGAAACACAGACACUAGAAUGGCACCGUGAACAGUUCCUUAAGGAGGUGUGUUGUCCAAGAAGCCGUGGUGGGAGGUGGGCAUAGAGAAACGCACACUGGAUCCUGAGUGUGUUUCUGCCGCCCCUGUUACAACAGACCUGUCAAUUACGUCACUGGUCACAAGCACUAACCACUAACUGAUGGCUCGGGGGACGUUCCAAACAACUGAAAGAAGACACCAAGUGCCAUCAGGAGCAAAUUAAAGGAUUAUUAUCGAAUAGAAUGAGAGAGGAGGAUCAUCUCUGGUUUCUUGCCCCACCCCAGACAUUCCAGAGGAAAGGCGACACGGCGGCCGCUGCUCUCUUACAGUGGAUUUGUAUGGCCUUCACACUGUGUCUUUGUGUGUGUGUGUAUUCAAGAGUCUCCCAGUUCAUAACUACUGCAACACAUUCAAUUCUUUUGAAAGGAUUAAUUCAUGAAUUGCCAAACUACAGCCCAAGGGCUGGUCAGUUCACAGCCUGUUUUUGCAAAUAAAGUUUUAUUGGAACACAGCCAUGCUCAUUCGUUUACGUGUUUUCCAUGGCUGUUUUUGCCUUACAAAUGCAGAGUUGAGUAGUUUUG